UAGGGAAUCUUCCGCAAUGGACGAAAGUCUGACGGAGCAACGCCGCGUGAGUGAUGAAGGUUUUCGGAUCGUAAAGCUCUGUUGUCAGAGAAGAACAGGUGUGAGAGGAAAUGUUCAUGCCAUGACGGUAUCUGACCAGAAAGCCACGGCUAACUACGUGCCAGCAGCCGCGGUAAUACGUAGGUGGCAAGCGUUGUCCGGAAUUAUUGGGCGUAAAGCGCGCGCAGGCGGCUUCUUAAGUCUGAUGUGAAAGCCCACGGCUCAACCGUGGAGGGUCAUUGGAAACUGGGAGACUUGAGUGCAGAAGAGGAAAGUGGAAUUCCAUGUGUAGCGGUGAAAUGCGUAGAGAUAUGGAGGAACACCAGUGGCGAAGGCGACUUUCUGGUCUGUAACUGACACUGAGGCGCGAAAGCGUGGGGAGCAAACA
Molecule: ribosomal RNA, 427 nt
Filed under: uncultured Bacillus sp.
Lineage: Bacteria; Bacillati; Bacillota; Bacilli; Caryophanales; Bacillaceae
Description: bacterial SSU rRNA
Rfam family: Bacterial small subunit ribosomal RNA
Source: RNAcentral